RNAcentral lists this ribosomal RNA (253 nucleotides) under uncultured bacterium. Its description in RNAcentral is "partial 16S ribosomal RNA". It matches the Rfam family "Bacterial small subunit ribosomal RNA", at positions 524 to 776 of the family's 1533-position model. The record is from RNAcentral.
UACGGGGGGGGCAAGCGUUGUUCGGAAUUACUGGGCGUAAAGGGCGCGUAGGCGGUUCGCUAAGUUGGAUGUGAAAACUCUGGGCUCAACCCAGAGCCUGCAUCCAAAACUGGUGGGCUAGAGUUCUGGAGGGGGUAGCGGAAUUCCUGGUGUAGCGGUGAAAUGCGUAGAUAUCAGGAGGAACACCGGUGGCGAAGGCGGCUACCUGGACAGAAACUGACGCUGAGGCGCGAAAGCGUGGGGAGCGAACAGG